RNAcentral lists this ribosomal RNA (874 nucleotides) under Pestalotia vaccinii. Its description in RNAcentral is "LSU rRNA". It matches the Rfam family "Eukaryotic large subunit ribosomal RNA", at positions 61 to 960 of the family's 3401-position model. The record is from RNAcentral. Lineage: Eukaryota; Fungi; Ascomycota; Sordariomycetes; Amphisphaeriales; Amphisphaeriaceae. RNAcentral also lists the same sequence under 1 other name.
GAAACCAACAGGGAUUGCCUUAGUAACGGCGAGUGAAGCGGCAACAGCUCAAAUUUGAAAUCUGGCCCUUGGGUCCGAAUUGUAAUUUGUAGAGGAUGAUUUUGGUGCGGUAUCUUCCGAGUUCCUUGGAACAGGACGCCUUAGAGGGUGAGAGCCCCGUACGGUUGAAUGCCUAGCCUCUGUAAAUCUCCUUCGACGAGUCGAGUAGUUUGGGAAUGCUGCUCUAAAUGGGAGGUAAAUUUCUUCUAAAGCUAAAUAUUGGCCAGAGACCGAUAGCGCACAAGUAGAGUGAUCGAAAGAUGAAAAGCACUUUGAAAAGAGGGUUAAAUAGCACGUGAAAUUGUUGAAAGGGAAGGAUUUGUGACCAGACUUUUUCUGGGCGGAUCAUCCGGGGUUCUCUCCGGUGCACUUCGCCCAGUAAAGGCCAGCAUCGGUUUUCGGCGUGGGAUAAAAGCAGUAGGAAUGUGGCUCUCUACGGGGAGUGUUAUAGCCCAUUGUAUAAUACCGCGCUGGGGACCGAGGUUCGCGCUUCUGCAAGGAUGCUGGCGUAAUGGUUAUCAAUCACCCGUCUUGAAACACGGACCAAGGAGUCGAACAUUUGUGCGAGUGUUUGGGUGUUAAACCCUCACGCGUAAUGAAAGUGAACGGAGGUGAGAGCCCUUACGGGUGCAUCAUCGACCGAUCCUGAAGUUUUCGGAUGGAUUUGAGUAAGAGCAUAACUGUUCGGACCCGAAAGAUGGUGAACUAUGCGUGGAUAGGGUGAAGCCAGAGGAAACUCUGGUGGAGGCUCGCAGCGGUUCUGACGUGCAAAUCGAUCGUCAAAUCUGCGCAUGGGGGCGAAAGACUAAUCGAACCAUCUAGUAGCUGGUUACCG